GAUGAACGCUGGCGGCGUGCUUAACACAUGCAAGUCGAACGCUGAAGCCUAGCUUGCUGGGUGGAUGAGUGGCGAACGGGUGAGUAACACGUGAGUAACCUGCCCUUGACUCUGGGAUAAGCCUGGGAAACUGGGUCUAAUACUGGAUAUGACCUGUCACCGCAUGGUGUGUGGGUGGAAAGAUUUUUUGGUUGGGGAUGGACUCGCGGCCUAUCAGCUUGUUGGUGAGGUAGUGGCUUACCAAGGCGACGACGGGUAGCCGGCCUGAGAGGGUGACCGGCCACACUGGGACUGAGACACGGCCCAGACUCCUACGGGAGGCAGCAGUGGGGAAUAUUGCACAAUGGGCGCAAGCCUGAUGCAGCGACGCCGCGUGAGGGAUGACGGCCUUCGGGUUGUAAACCUCUUUCAGUUGGGAAGAAGCCUCUUUGGGGUGACGGUACUAGCAGAAGAAGCGCCGGCUAACUACGUGCCAGCAGCCGCCGUAAAAC
Molecule: ribosomal RNA, 491 nt
Filed under: uncultured bacterium
Lineage: Bacteria
Description: bacterial SSU rRNA
Rfam family: Bacterial small subunit ribosomal RNA
Source: RNAcentral